RNAcentral lists this transfer RNA (47 nucleotides) under Diaphus theta (California headlightfish). RNAcentral's name for it is "partial tRNA-Val". The record is from RNAcentral. Lineage: Eukaryota; Metazoa; Chordata; Actinopteri; Myctophiformes; Myctophidae.
CACCUCCCUUACACUGAGAAGAUGUCCGUGCAAUUCGGACCACCCUG